CAUCCGAAUGCAUCGAUCGAAGCCGUUGCCCAAGCACGAACUUGUUCGUUCCAAAACAAGAAAGGACGCCAUGAACCAAUCGCAGAUGCCAGCGACUCAACCGGGUAAAAAUUUAUGUCACGCAAAAACACGACGAAAAGAACCAAUCUUGGAAGAAAAGACCGCCAAGGGAGAGUAGGUACCUGAUUUGGGCGUCGCGACGGGAGCGCCGUUCUCUUGCGAUGACAGGACAGCAGCCAUCGAUGGCGGAGCUCGCCGGGACAAUCGGAGAGACCAGACCCUGCGAAAAGUCGGAUUGGGAGCCCCAGAUUGGUAAGUGGUGAAAAACCUAACCCUAGAUUUUUCCACGGUUUGGAGGAGACGAGUUGCGCGAAGGGAAUUAGGGCUCAGACAUUCCAUGCGCUCUCGCAAGCGGCCCGUUCCCACCAAAUUAAGUUGGUGCGGUAGGCAACACAGCCUGCGUAUAUAUAUAUAUAUAUAUAUAUAUAU
RNAcentral lists this long non-coding RNA (489 nucleotides) under Musa acuminata (dwarf banana). RNAcentral describes it as "long non-coding RNA (MACU_LNC005583)". Lineage: Eukaryota; Viridiplantae; Streptophyta; Magnoliopsida; Zingiberales; Musaceae. The record is from RNAcentral.